This 469-nucleotide ribosomal RNA is filed under the name uncultured bacterium. RNAcentral describes it as "bacterial SSU rRNA". It matches the Rfam family "Bacterial small subunit ribosomal RNA", at positions 335 to 802 of the family's 1533-position model. The record is from RNAcentral.
ACUCCUACGGGAGGCAGCAGUGGGGAAUAUUGCACAAUGGGGGAAACCCUGAUGCAGCCAUGCCGCGUGUGUGAAGAAGGCCUUCGGUUGUAAGCACUUUCAGUAGGGAGGAAGGUAGUGUAGUUAACACCUGCAUUAUUUGACGUUACCUACAGAAGAAGCACCGGCUAACUCCGUGCCAGCAGCCGCGGUAAUACGGAGGGUGCGAGCGUUAAUCGGAAUUACUGGGCGUAAAGCGCAUGCAGGCGGCCUGUUAAGUCAGAUGUGAAAGCCCGGGGCUUAACCUCGGAAUUGCAUUUGAAACUGGCAGGCUAGAGUCUUGUAGAGGGGGUAGAAUUUCAGGUGUAGCGGUGAAAUGCGUAGAGAUCUGAAGGAAUACCAGUGGCGAAGGCGGCCCCUGGACAAAGACUGACGCUCAGAUGCGAAAGCGUGGGGAGCAAACAGGAUUAGAUACCCUGGUAGACUGUCA